AUUCAGCUGACGAGUCUUAACCAAAACGAAACGCUCGUUCAGAAU
RNAcentral lists this non-coding RNA (45 nucleotides) under Schistosoma margrebowiei. The record is from RNAcentral. Lineage: Eukaryota; Metazoa; Platyhelminthes; Trematoda; Strigeidida; Schistosomatidae.